UUAUUUCCUAAAUCACCCUCAUUUUUCAUGUUAAAAAUGAAUGUUAAGGAUAAUUUGGAUAACUCAGCCAUUUUAGACUCAUUAAUUUCAAAACACUCCCUAUUAAUUAGCAGGCCUAUUUUUGUCUCCAGAUAUCCCCCAAAACAUUUGCAACGAAACAUUUUUCAUUCUUUUCAGACACUUGCCAAGAUAAGUUUGAUUGUACUAUUUUCCCCUGAGUUUUCAAAAAGAUGUCUUAUUUCUUACUAAACUUCUUUGUUAAAGCAGAGAUUUUUAUGUCAUUAUUUCAUAUUCAAAUCAAUCAUUAAAGUUGUCAUUGUAGGAAAAGGAUAGAUACUGAGAUCUGAGCUCUUCUAACUCCCUGUCUUGAUCAUUUGGCUAAUGCUCAUCCAAAAGAAAGAUUAUUUAUGUUUUAGAGACAAACAUUUAAAUGAACCAAUUAUGAGCAAUAUCUAAAUCUAAAGUUUAGCUAAGGACGCAUACAUGCACACAUACUCACAUAUAAAUACAUGUUUAUACUCUUUGAAUGGUGACAUAAAAACUGAAAAUUGAAGAGGAUUCCAUCAUUAGGUGAAUGAUUUGACAAUUUGAUAUAUUAAUGUGGUAGAAUAACAGUGUGCUUUUAGAAAUGAUAGAGAUGGUUUCAGAGAAAUUUAGGAAGACUUGUUUGAAUCUGAUGAAAAAUAAAGUGAGCAGUUAUAGAAAAACAAUUCAUAAAAUAACUAAGUUCAUAACCAGCUCUAACAUGUUAAUACAGAAUUAUAAUUACUUUUCUUUCUUCAUCACCAGGGGCAGCUGGAUGGAGUGUAGGCUUCAAAUCGGGGAGACAACUUCAAAUCCAUCCUCAGAUUUCUCUGAAUUGUUUUCCAUAAAGGUUCCUGUCCCUGAAAAGAGAAAAGGGGUUACCUGUAUAGUUGGGACUGGCUGUGGGUCAAAAUCAAAUGUACACCAUGGGAGUGGAGCCAAGAUGGUACAGUUAUCCUCAGAAGUGCUGUGCCACCAUGAGAAUCCUCUCCAUCCAUAA
This 1024-nucleotide long non-coding RNA is filed under the name Monodelphis domestica (gray short-tailed opossum). RNAcentral describes it as "lncRNA (ENSMODG00000049360.1)". Lineage: Eukaryota; Metazoa; Chordata; Mammalia; Didelphimorphia; Didelphidae. The record is from RNAcentral.